Molecule: long non-coding RNA, 3735 nt
Organism: Capra hircus (goat)
Lineage: Eukaryota; Metazoa; Chordata; Mammalia; Artiodactyla; Bovidae
Source: Ensembl
GUCUGUCAGGAGCUAUACUUCAAUGCCAUGUGCUUUCCUCUGCUCCCAGCUUUGCUGAUUACUAAUUACUCUAUCAGUGUGACAUCUCAGACCAUGGCCUUCAAAUGACUGCCAAAUCUCAGAUUUUCCAGUUCCCUAGUUCGCAGACUUUAUUCUAUGAGGCAUGCUCCACUUGGGGAACUCUGCAGCUGGGGAUCUAUGUGACAAGCUCUAAGAACACUGUGCACCAGCAAAGACAUUCUCUUGUUGACUGUCUACAUUACUUCUCUAGGAGGGUCUCCCCCAGUCAUCACCAUUGCUGGUUCCAUUUCAUCUACUAAUAUCCCAUCACCAAUCAGUCUGACUGGGAAACAGACUGUGUCUUACAAGACUUCUCCGGGGAAUGGUAUGACUCAGCAGUAGUUGCUUAAACCCAUCGUUGGGAAGAAAUUCUCCAUGGGUCUCGCAUGUUUCUAUGCAUCACGCAAGCACAAAGACUGUCUACUGUUGGUAUGGACCAUCUUUUUCUUUGCUUUUUUUUUCCACAUCAGUAAAAUGCAUUUAUUUUAAUGUGGAUUGGUAUAACUACAAAUAAGGAUAGAACAUAUUAUCAUAUUCUUCCUGGCUACGUAUAUAUAUAUAUAUAUUCUGAUUUGAAUUCCUUGUUCAGUUUCCAAGCCCAAAUGAUGAAUUCAUUUUAUUAUUGUUAUUAUCAUUAAUUAGUUAGGUAUUUUUAAAAUGAAUCUAUUAAUGUAUUUUCCAAAUAUUUUUUCAAUUGGUUCUUUUUCAUUUAUAAUUUUGUUUAUGGCAUUUCAUUUUAUUUUGACAUGAGAGAAGUGCUUGAAUUUUGCAUAAUCACAUCUAUAAAUGUUUUCCUAAUGAUUUUUUUUGGUUUUAUGCUUUAUAACAGCCUAUACUCCAAAAUUAUAUAAAUACUUACCAACUUAGCCUAGAAGUAUGUGUAUGCUUCAUUCUUAUGAAAUUAUUUGUGUAUGUAUCAUAAGGAAAUUAGAAAUACUUGGUUAUAUUUGGUAGAAAGAGUUCCAGGAAUAUCUUGCUGUUUUGCUCUUUUUCAUCAUUUCCAUUUUUCUUUCCUUUCUUCCUUUUAAAAUUUGUUUCUAUGUAGGCAAAAGCAGAAUUCAAGUUAUUUGGCUAUCUGUGACUGUUCUAAGGCUUUCUUGGACUUCCUGGACUGUCUUUUUAAAGAUGUCUGUAUAACAAGCAAUUUUGGAAGACAGAGACAGUACAUGUUGGCUUUUGGCUAUUAUAAGAGAUCUGGGUUCCCUAAACUCAGGAUUUCUCUCUAUCUGCCGCAUACAUUGGUGUUUUCUGGUCUUCUUUGAACUGCCUGUUGGAGCUGGGGUCUGGGAAAUUGACACGAAUCUGAGAUCUGACUACUGCCAGUGCUGUGACUAAGCAAGUCCUUUGUCUAUGAUCCAGUCUUGUGUUUUCUCCCAGCAUUCAUGAAACUGUGGCAAGGUAGCUUAGAUUAUUGGAUGGUAAAAAUCACACUCUAUGGUUAUUGACAGUCUUGGUGACCAAGAGGGAAUGUGAAAGAGCAAGGAUGAGGACCUUAUAGACCAAUUAAAAGAUUUUGAGGAAAUCCUCGGGAAUUAGUGUUGAACAUGUUGACCAAAUGUUAUUAUCAAUCAGGCAUUAAAUACUUCUGUAAUUUCUUGUUGCAGGCUGAGUAUUAGGAAGUAGGUUGAAGGCCAACCAUGUGAAAAAGUGCCUGGGGUGUUGCUAACUCUCCUCUGUGCAGGGCACUUUCUCAACCUGUUGAUUAGCUUCAGGUGUAUCCCACGGUGACAAUUAGUACUAAUAUUCACCCUGGGUGACAACAGCUGGACUGUUUUAUGACUUGGUCUCUCAUGCCAAACUUUAACCCAUUCAGAUUAGAGCAAAAUGUCUCAGGAUAUUUUGCAGAUUGUCCUGGCUGCUAAAUGGAGCAGUGGCUCUUUGGGGGAAAACUUCUACAGGAAUCCAUGGAUGAGGUAUUAACUAAUAUUUGAGCUCUUCCUGCCUGAGGUUGGGUUUCUAAUGCUGAUGCAGAUGACACAUUGGAGAAUGGGAAACUGACCCAGAGAACUCUACAUGUAUUCUUACUGUCAAUUCUUGGCCCUGGAAAACUUAACACUGGAACUAGGUGAAGCCAAAGGGGUGUUUUUGAUAAUGAGGCAUUAAAUACCUCAGGUUGAAGUUGUCAUUUUUUUUCAGUCACUAAGUUAUUUCUGACACUUUUCGGCCCCAUGGACUGCAGCACACCAGGCUUCUCUGUCCUUCUGUAUCUCCUGGAGUUUGCUCAAAUUCAUGUCAAUGAUUUACAUCAUUUAGUCAAUGAUGCUAUCUAACCAUCUCAUCCACUGCUUCCUCCCUCUCCUUUUGCCUUCAAUCUUUCCCAUGAUGAGUUGACUCCUUAAAAAACUUGCCACUCUAUGAGCCAAGUGUGACACCAGCCAGAAAAGAAUGAGGCCGUGAUUGCCAAAGCCAAAGUAGGCAAUACAAGCCAUGAGGAAAUUUACCUACCUUAAAUUUUUGAAUCAGCCCAAAGCAUUGCAAGUUGAUUUGUUGGAGCCAUGAGCAGCCACACCCAAUUUGAAACUAUAAAUAAAUGUAAAGCCUUACUGGCGUAGAAGGCUCUUUUCCCUUUGUACCCCUCCUUCCCUCCACCCCCUCAACUCUUACCUUGGCUGCUGAUAUUACAGAUAUUUGAAGGAACUUCCAUGCUCCCUACCAGCCAUAGACAUCUAGCACUGGAAUAGCCUCCCUAAAAACUGACUAAAAAAUUUCUAAUUCUACUUCCUUCACCUUCUCCUGGUCCAUGCACUUUAGUAAGGCAGUUUGGUCACUGAAUGCUGCUGUCCUCAGAAAGGGUUCACUUCCCCUUGGCUGCUUUCUUAGGUAAUGGUCAGGACAAAAGGGGUAGGAGAUGACAUAGACCUAUUUUGAAAAAUUGAGAUUUCUUCCUAACCAUUCUUGCACAUGUCUUUCUCUCCCCUAAUAGCAAUUCCAGGCCAGCCCGGCUGGUAUACUCUCUAGGUGGCAGUUCAGCCAAAAUGGUGCCCAAGAGGUUCCAACUUAAUUCUGAUUUUACUGUCUGGAUUCUCCAGUUAGAUGGACUUUGUCCUAGAUCAUAAAGAUAAUACCAUUUGACACUAUCACCAAACCCCCAUGCAGUGGUCCAGACAGGUUGAUGUGGGGUACAUAAAGUGUUGUAUAACUUUUAUUAAAAUGUCCAAGUCUUGCACCUUUUUUUUCUCAGUAAAAGGUCUGGGUGUGAUUAGGAGAUAACUACAAAAAAACAUGAAAUUAUCAAUAGUGGAAUUGAACACACCAAUUUUGAAGCAAUGGAGGACAGACAAGAAUAGUACCUGGGACUGGAAACACUUUAGACCCCAAGAGACACAGAAGAGAGAUGGAUCUGCAUGACCUCUGUUUUUCAGAAUCACCCUUGGAGCCUUCUUCAUGAUCGGCAACCGCCUGGUGAGUUUCUCCCAAACCAUUGCGUGUGCCUUCUAUUUUAUUGACUGUUGGAUCUGUUACCCUCUGCCUGAUGCCUCUGACCCACAAUUUGGCCCAUUUCCUCUAACUUCACUGAGAAGUCAAUCAGAAACAACAGAGGAUGUCCUCAGCUCCUGAAUCUUUCACAAAAAAAUCCUGUUAACACCUCUAGAUAUUUUCCCUACCCCCCAGUUUCAUAAUUAUGUCAUUUCCUAUGAAGACAAAUGUCACCCAGCUGGUAGUGUGGACAAGCAG